Molecule: ribosomal RNA, 472 nt
Filed under: Boophis madagascariensis (Madagascar bright-eyed frog)
Lineage: Eukaryota; Metazoa; Chordata; Amphibia; Anura; Mantellidae
Description: partial 16S ribosomal RNA
Rfam family: Bacterial large subunit ribosomal RNA
Source: RNAcentral
UGUUCUUUAAAUGAGGACUCGUAUCAACGGCAUCACGAGGAUCCUACUGUCUCCCCCCUCUAAUCGGUGAAACUGAUCUCUCCGUGAAGAAGCGGAGAUGUACAUAUAAGACGAGAAGACCCCAUGGAGCUUUAAACCCAACAACACCCGCCCCCCUCCAAAUCCUAUUAUUUACCCGGUGAUUGUUUGUUUGGUUUUAGGUUGGGGUGACCGCGGAGUAUAAGAUAUCCUCCAUGAAAAAAAGCUAACUGCCCUUAUUAGAGAAAGACACUUCCAAAAAAUAAUAAAUUAAUUUUAAAUGAUCCGACAUUCGAUCAACGAACCAAGUUACCCUGGGGAUAACAGCGCAAUCCGUCCCGAGAGCCCCUAUCGACAGGCGGGUUUACGACCUCGAUGUUGGAUCAGGGUAUCCCAGUGGUGCAGCAGCUACUAAAGGUUCGUUUGUUCAACGAUUAAAACCCUACGUGAUCUG